AUGUGGGCCUGUGCUGCACGGAGCGGGGCAGGGCUCAGAGGGGCUGUGUCUCAUGGCCUCGCUCUCUCUCCCUUUGCAGCUAGCGACACGGCCCCGUCUGUCUUCCCCCUGACCUCCUGCACCGGCGAAGUCACCACCUCCCCGGUCACCUUCGGCUGCCUGGCCAAAGGCUACUUCCCCGAGCCGGUCACCGUGACAUGGAGCCCUAACGUCGGCUCCUCGGGCGUGAGGACCUAUCCCUCCGUGCUGCAACCUUCCAGCGGCCUCUACUCGCUCAGCAGCCAGGUCACCGUCCCGGCCACCAGCUGGAAGUCUGACACCUAUAGCUGCACCGUAAAGCACCCGCCCACCAGCCGCAGCAUCUCCACGGAAAUCCCAAAGUCCAUUAAACCUAAGGUGGAAGUGCUCUACUCCUGCACCACCAAACCAGGCACCGUCCAGCUGGUGUGCUUAAUCUCUGGCUUCAACCCUAAGCCUUUGACGGUGCAAUGGAUGGUGGCCGGCAAGCCCAGUGGCGCCGCCACUACCACGGAGGAAGCCGACGGCCACACCUUCAGUGUCUCCGAGAGCGAGUGGCUGGAGGGCAAGACGUACACGUGCGAGGUGUCCCAGACGGGCACCACAACAAUGCAGGCCCACGCCCACAAGUGCGGAGGUGACGCUCGCCGGCACUAGGCUCCCUACGAAGAGGAGGGGCAGUGGGGGAUUCAGGGUUACUGGGGCCCUGUGAUCAGCCGCAUUUUGGGGCCCUCCUUGGGCCCACGUG
Non-coding RNA from Mauremys reevesii (Reeves's turtle), 766 nucleotides. The record is from the annotation of a RefSeq genome assembly. Lineage: Eukaryota; Metazoa; Chordata; Testudines; Geoemydidae.